This 253-nucleotide ribosomal RNA is filed under the name uncultured bacterium. RNAcentral's name for it is "partial 16S ribosomal RNA". It matches the Rfam family "Bacterial small subunit ribosomal RNA", at positions 524 to 776 of the family's 1533-position model. The record is from RNAcentral.
UACGGGGGGGGUAAGCGUUGUUCGGAAUUACUGGGCGUAAAGGGCUCGUAGGCGGCCAACUAAGUCAGACGUGAAAUCCCUCAGCUUAACUGGGGAACUGCGUCUGAUACUGGAUGGCUUGGAUUCGGGAGAGGAAUGCGGAAUUCCAGGUGUAGCGGUGAAAUACGUAGAUAUCUGGAGGAACACCGGUGGCGAAGGCGGCAUUCUGGACCGACAUUGACGCUGAGGAGCGAAAGCCAGGGGAGCAAACGGG